Molecule: long non-coding RNA, 621 nt
Filed under: Equus caballus (horse)
Lineage: Eukaryota; Metazoa; Chordata; Mammalia; Perissodactyla; Equidae
Description: lncRNA (ENSECAG00000034958.3)
Source: RNAcentral
CCCAGGCUUUGGGAGACCACAGACCUCGGUUUGAAUACUGGGUCCCCCACCCACUGACUCUCUUCUCCGGCCUCGGGUCCUCAGCUGUCAGUGGGAGCACGGUCACAGUGCCUCCUCGAGGAUUACUGGCAGCAUGUGGGGGAUCUGGGCGGGCAGGUCCCUGGGCCAGCCUGGCACAUGGCAGGAACCCAGCAGAGAGAGGGCAGCCAUUUCCACCAGGAUUGGCUAUUCUCCCAGGGGCCAUCACUUGUCCCCUCGUCUUAAGCUGUGGUGGCCGCCCCUCCUCUGUCCAUGGUCCUGCUUACCCCCCGGAGCCCGGGCUGCCUGCUCUCUCUCGGCUCAGCCCCAGAACACACCUUCUCUCCAUCUCCCUCGCUUGGGUGCCAACGGCCUUGCAGGUGACUUGCAGGGGUGCCUCUCUGGUGCUCCCUGGCAGCCAGGGUUGGUGCCUCCUUUGAUGAACUGGGAGCUUGUUCCAAACGGAGGGAGAGAGAGUUGAAAAUUGCCGUGGAGCAGCGUGGAGGGAAAGAUGCGGGUACGCACGUGAAAGUCUCGACGGAUGUGAUAAUUAUUUACGGUUUCUGGCAUUGAGUGUUUUUGUUACCCAGUUAAAUAGACUCU